This 566-nucleotide ribosomal RNA is filed under the name uncultured Burkholderia sp. RNAcentral's name for it is "bacterial SSU rRNA". It matches the Rfam family "Bacterial small subunit ribosomal RNA", at positions 356 to 915 of the family's 1533-position model. The record is from RNAcentral. Lineage: Bacteria; Pseudomonadati; Pseudomonadota; Betaproteobacteria; Burkholderiales; Burkholderiaceae.
GGGGAAUUUUGGACAAUGGGGGCAACCGUGAUCCAGCAAUACCGCGUGUGUGAAGAAGGCCUUCGGGUUGUAAAGCACUUUUGUCCGGAAAGAAAACCUCCGUCCUAAUACGGUGGGGGGAUGACGGUACCGGAAGAAUAAGCACCGGCUAACUACGUGCCAGCAGCCGCGGUAAUACGUAGGGUGCAAGCGUUAAUCGGAAUUACUGGGCGUAAAGCGUGCGCAGGCGGUUCGCUAAGACCGAUGUGAAAUCCCCGGGCUUAACCUGGGAACUGCAUUGGUGACUGGCGGGCUAGAGUAUGGCAGAGGGGGGUAGAAUUCCACGUGUAGCAGUGAAAUGCGUAGAGAUGUGGAGGAAUACCGAUGGCGAAGGCAGCCCCCUGGGCCAAUACUGACGCUCAUGCACGAAAGCGUGGGGAGCAAACAGGAUUAGAUACCCUGGUAGUCCACGCCCUAAACGAUGUCAACUAGUUGUCGGGUCUUCAUUGACUUGGUAACGAAGCUAACGCGUGAAGUUGACCGCCUGGGGAGUACGGUCGCAAGAUUAAAACUUAAAGGAAUUGACG